RNAcentral lists this ribosomal RNA (1381 nucleotides) under uncultured bacterium. Its description in RNAcentral is "partial 16S ribosomal RNA". It matches the Rfam family "Bacterial small subunit ribosomal RNA", at positions 27 to 1393 of the family's 1533-position model. The record is from RNAcentral.
GAUUGAACGCUGGCGGCAUGCCUUACACAUGCAAGUCGAACGGCAGCAUGAUCUAGCUUGCUAGAUUGAUGGCGAGUGGCGAACGGGUGAGUAAUACAUCGGAACGUGCCCUGUAGUGGGGGAUAACUAGUCGAAAGAUUAGCUAAUACCGCAUACGACCUGAGGGUGAAAGUGGGGGACCGCAAGGCCUCAUGCUAUAGGAGCGGCCGAUGUCUGAUUAGCUAGUUGGUGGGGUAAAGGCCCACCAAGGCGACGAUCAGUAGCUGGUCUGAGAGGACGAUCAGCCACACUGGGACUGAGACACGGCCCAGACUCCUACGGGAGGCAGCAGUGGGGAAUUUUGGACAAUGGGCGAAAGCCUGAUCCAGCAAUGCCGCGUGUGUGAAGAAGGCCUUCGGGUUGUAAAGCACUUUUGUCCGGAAAGAAAUGGCUCUGGUUAAUACCUGGGGUCGAUGACGGUACCGGAAGAAUAAGGACCGGCUAACUCCGUGCCAGCAGCCGCGGUAAUACGGAGGGUGCAAGCGUUAAUCGGAAUUACUGGGCGUAAAGCGCACGCAGGCGGUCUGUCAAGUCGGAUGUGAAAUCCCCGGGCUCAACCUGGGAACUGCAUUCGAAACUGGCAGGCUAGAGUCUUUGUAGAGGGGGGUAGAAUUCCAGGUGUAGCGGUGAAAUGCGUAGAGAUCUGGAGGAAUACCGGGUGGCGAAGGCGGCCCCCUGGGACAAAGACUGACGGCUCAGGUGCGAAAGCGUGGGGGAGCAAACAGGAUUAGAUACCCCUGGUAGUCCACGCCGUAAACGAUGUCGACUUGGAGGUUGUGCCCUGAGGCGUGGCUUCCGGAGCUAACGCGUUAAGUCGACCGCCUGGGGAGUACGGCCGCAAGGUUAAAACUCAAAUGAAUUGACGGGGGCCCGCACAAGCGGUGGAGCAUGUGGUUUAAUUCGAUGCAACGCGAAGAACCUUACCUACUCUUGACAUCCAGAGAACUUUCCAGAGAUGGAUUGGUGCCUUCGGGAACUCUGAGACAGGUGCUGCAUGGCUGUCGUCAGCUCGUGUUGUGAAAUGUUGGGUUAAGUCCCGCAACGAGCGCAACCCUUAUCCUUUGUUGCCAGCGGUUAGGCCGGGAACUCAAAGGAGACUGCCAGUGAUAAACUGGAGGAAGGUGGGGAUGACGUCAAGUCAUCAUGGCCCUUACGAGUAGGGCUACACACGUGCUACAAUGGCGCAUACAAAGAGAAGCGACCUCGCGAGAGCAAGCGGACCUCAUAAAGUGCGUCGUAGUCCGGAUUGGAGUCUGCAACUCGGGAACAUGAAGUUGGAAUCGCUAGUAAUCGCGGAUCAGCAUGCCGCGGUGAAUAUGUACCCGGGCCCUGUACACACCGC